Mytilus trossulus (common blue mussel) is the source of this 346-nucleotide long non-coding RNA. RefSeq lists it as uncharacterized. The record is from RefSeq and is a predicted model, not a curated record. The transcript has 5 exons. NCBI's taxonomy places the organism in Eukaryota, Metazoa, Mollusca, Bivalvia, Mytilida, Mytilidae.
CAGGCAGUCGUCACGAACCUGAACGACGUGUUCAUUUUCGUCUUGAAAAUCUGUCAAGAUAUCCAGAAGAGUCCUUUGACGAUAGAGCAAGUGUAGUUUCAGAAUGUUAUCCACGUAGGGAACCAGUCGAUGGCCAAUUUUCAGAUGAAUUUUCAUUUGGUUCCUCUUCAUCAUUAUCUGAUAAUUAUGUAGUCAUAAAAAACAUUGACGAUCCUCAAAUAUCAUUUUGCAUUGGUAAUAUUGAAAUUGAAGGCGACGGAGAGUUAAGCAAAAUACCGGAAUCACUUGUUUAUGCUACAGACCGAAAUCAUGUUGACGCUUAUUCCUUCAAUAGUAUUUAUAUACG